RNAcentral lists this ribosomal RNA (262 nucleotides) under uncultured archaeon. Its description in RNAcentral is "partial 16S ribosomal RNA". It matches the Rfam family "Archaeal small subunit ribosomal RNA", at positions 748 to 1008 of the family's 1478-position model. The record is from RNAcentral.
CAGCUGUAAACGAUGCAGACUAGGUGUUUGGACGGCCACGUGCCGUUCUAGUGCCGCAGGGAAGCUGUUAAGUCUGCCGCCUGGGGAGUACGAUCGCAAGAUUGAAACUUAAAGGAAUUGGCGGGGGAGCACCGCAACGGGAGGAGCGUGCGGUUCAAUUGGAUUCAACGCCGGACAACUCACCAGGAGCGACGGUUACAUGAAGGCCAGGCUGAUGACCUUGCCUGAUUUUUCCGAGAGGUGGUGCAUGGCGUCAGUGACU